UACGUAGGGGGCGAGCGUUGUCCGGAAUCAUUGGGCGUAAAGAGCUCGUAGGCGGUUCAGUAAGUCAGGUGUGAAAGCUCCGAGCUCAACUCGGAGAGGCCACCUGAUACUGCUGUGACUAGAAUCCAGUAGGGGAGUGUGGAACUCCUGGUGUAGCGGUGAAAUGCGCAGAUAUCAGGAAGAACACCAGCGGCGAAGGCGGCACUCUGGGCUGGUAUUGACGCUGAGGAGCGAAAGUGUGGGUAGCAAACAGG
This 254-nucleotide ribosomal RNA is filed under the name uncultured bacterium. RNAcentral describes it as "partial 16S ribosomal RNA". It matches the Rfam family "Bacterial small subunit ribosomal RNA", at positions 524 to 776 of the family's 1533-position model. The record is from RNAcentral.